UGUAAGGGACAGGGGGGACAGUAUGGGAGUGAGAAUGUUGGCAUGAGUAGCGAGAUGUGGGUGAGAAUCCCACAGGCCGUAAACCCAAGGUGUCCAGGGGAAGGUUCGUCCGCCCUGGGUUAGUCGGGACCUAAGCUGAGGCCGAAAGGCGUAGGUGAUGGACAACAGGUUGAUAUUCCUGUACUACCGAUAACC
This 195-nucleotide ribosomal RNA is filed under the name Clostridioides difficile. RNAcentral's name for it is "partial 23S ribosomal RNA". It matches the Rfam family "Bacterial large subunit ribosomal RNA", at positions 1262 to 1455 of the family's 2925-position model. The record is from RNAcentral. Lineage: Bacteria; Bacillati; Bacillota; Clostridia; Peptostreptococcales; Peptostreptococcaceae.